Long non-coding RNA from Astatotilapia calliptera (eastern happy), 352 nucleotides. Lineage: Eukaryota; Metazoa; Chordata; Actinopteri; Cichliformes; Cichlidae. The record is from Ensembl.
CUCUCUGCUGGGCGGACUGGGGCAGAUCCGAGCCGACCAGUUCCGUGUUUCUCUGCUCACCCAGUUUACGGAGCAGACCGUACCGGAGGACCGGACAGCGUCACGGUGGACAUUCCUGUCCAGCAGCGGCAUCCGUAACUCCGGGGACGACAGGAAAGUGAGCGCGGAGGCUUUCCUAAAGUCAAUCCGGUUUCUAAUCAGAGCUCCACUGUCCCAUCCGUUGCAGGACUGCUGGUUCUUGAAGUCUCUGAAGGUCCUUUUUCAUGAUUCUGACUGCAUAAUCGGGCUCGCUGUCCUUCUGCAGAUUGAAUUUGCAUGAUUUUAAAAAAGUUGCCUAAAACUUUUGCACAGC